RNAcentral lists this ribosomal RNA (446 nucleotides) under uncultured bacterium. RNAcentral's name for it is "bacterial SSU rRNA". It matches the Rfam family "Bacterial small subunit ribosomal RNA", at positions 958 to 1398 of the family's 1533-position model. The record is from RNAcentral.
AACGCGAAGAACCUUACCUGGCCUUGACAUGCAUUGUGUCGCCGGUGAAAGCCGGCUAGCGUAGCAAUACGCGCUUUGCACAGGUGCUGCAUGGCUGUCGUCAGCUCGUGUCGUGAGAUGUUGGGUUAAGUCCCGCAACGAGCGCAACCCUUGUCCUGUGUUGCCACUCCCCUUAAAAGGAAGCACUCGCAGGAGACCGCCAGCGAUAAGCUGGAGGAAGGUGGGGAUGAUGUCAAGUCAUCAUGGCCUUUAUGUCCAGGGCUACACACGUGCUACAAUGGACGGUACAAAGCGCUGCGAACCCGCGAGGGGAAGCUAAUCGCAAAAAACCGUUCUCAGUUCGGAUCGCAGGCUGCAACUCGCCUGCGUGAAGCUGGAAUCGCUAGUAAUGGUGUAUCAGAACGAUACCGUGAAUACGUUCCCGGGCCUUGUACACACCGAGUAUA